UUUCAACUACUAUAAUUAGUAGAUCUUACUUCCAAUAAGAAAGUCCCCAUAGGGGUUGAAAA
Molecule: transfer RNA, 62 nt
Filed under: Bothriometopus macrocnemis
Lineage: Eukaryota; Metazoa; Arthropoda; Insecta; Psocodea; Philopteridae
Description: tRNA-Gly
Source: RNAcentral